GAAAGCAUCUAAGUGCGAAGCCCCCCACGAGAAAAGACCUCCUUGAGAAUAUCUAAAGAUCCCUGGAAGACUAACAGGUAGAUAGGUCGGAGGUGUAAGUGCAGCGAUGCAUGUAGCUGACCGAUACUAAUAGAUCGAACGCUUGAUCAAG
This 151-nucleotide ribosomal RNA is filed under the name Coprococcus sp. RNAcentral describes it as "partial 23S ribosomal RNA". It matches the Rfam family "Bacterial large subunit ribosomal RNA", at positions 2773 to 2925 of the family's 2925-position model. The record is from RNAcentral. Lineage: Bacteria; Bacillati; Bacillota; Clostridia; Lachnospirales; Lachnospiraceae.